This 559-nucleotide ribosomal RNA is filed under the name uncultured Pseudomonas sp. RNAcentral's name for it is "bacterial SSU rRNA". It matches the Rfam family "Bacterial small subunit ribosomal RNA", at positions 34 to 586 of the family's 1533-position model. Lineage: Bacteria; Pseudomonadati; Pseudomonadota; Gammaproteobacteria; Pseudomonadales; Pseudomonadaceae. The record is from RNAcentral.
GGCUGGCGGCAGGCCUACACAUGCAAGUCGAGCGGAUGAAGGGAGCUUGCUCCUGGAUUCAGCGGCGGACGGGUGAGUAAUGCCUAGGAAUCUGCCUGGUAGUGGGGGAUAACGUCCGGAAAACGGGCGCUAAUACCGCAUACGUCCUGAGGGAGAAAGUGGGGGAUCUUCGGACCUCACGCCCUAUCAGAUGAGCCUAGGUCGGAUUAGCUAGUUGGUGGGGUAAAGGCCUACCAAGGCGACGAUCCGUAACUGGUCUGAGAGGAUGAUCAGUCACACUGGAACUGAGACACGGUCCAGACUCCUACGGGAGGCAGCAGUGGGGAAUAUUGGACAAUGGGCGAAAGCCUGAUCCAGCCAUGCCGCGUGUGUGAAGAAGGUCUUCGGAUUGUAAAGCACUUUAAGUUGGGAGGAAGGGCAGUAAGUUAAUACCUUGCUGUUUUGACGUUACCAACAGAAUAAGCACCGGCUAACUUCGUGCCAGCAGCCGCGGUAAUACGAAGGGUGCAAGCGUUAAUCGGAAUUACUGGGCGUAAAGCGCGCGUAGGUGGUUCAGCAA